This 452-nucleotide ribosomal RNA is filed under the name uncultured bacterium. RNAcentral describes it as "bacterial SSU rRNA". It matches the Rfam family "Bacterial small subunit ribosomal RNA", at positions 340 to 786 of the family's 1533-position model. The record is from RNAcentral.
UACGGGAGGCAGCAGUGGGGAAUAUUGCACAAUGGGCGAAAGCCUGAUGCAGCUAUGCCGCGUGUAUGAAGAAGGCCUUAGGGUUGUAAAGUACUUUCAUCGGGGAGGAAAAAACAAAACUAAUAAUUUUAUUUCUUGACGUUACCCGAAAAAGAAGCACCGGCUAACUCCGUGCCAGCAGCCGCGGUAAUACGGAGGGUGCUAGCGUUAAUCGGAAUUACUGGGCGUAAAGGGCACGCAGGCGGUUAAUUAAGUUGGAUGUGAAAUCCCCGGGCUUAACCUGGGAAUGGCAUUCAAGACUGGUUAGCUAGAGUCUUGUAGAGGGGGUAGAAUUCCAUGUGUAGCGGUGAAAUGCGUAGAGAUGUGGAGGAAUACCGGUGGCGAAGGCGGCCCCUGGACAAAGACUGACGCUCAUGUGCGAAAGCGUGGGGAGCAAACAGGGAUUAGAUACC